GAUGGCGACCGGCGCACGGGUGAGUAACACGUAUCCAACCUUCCGUUUACUCGGGGAUAGCCUUUCGAAAGAAAGAUUAAUACCCGAUGGUUUCAGGAUUUUGCAUGAAAACUUGAAUAAAGAUUAAUCGGUAAACGAUGGGGAUGCGUUCCAUUAGGUAGUAGGCGGGGUAACGGCCCACCUAGCCUGCGAUGGAUAGGGGUUCUGAGAGGAAGGUCCCCCACAUUGGAACUGAGACACGGUCCAAACUCCUACGGGAGGCAGCAGUGAGGAAUAUUGGUCAAUGGGCGAGAGCCUGAACCAGCCAAGUAGCGUGAAGGAUGAAGGUCCUACGGAUUGUAAACUUCUUUUAUAAGGGAAUAAAUGAGCCUACGUGUAGGUUUUUGCAUGUACCUUAUGAAUAAGCAUCGGCUAACUCCGUGCCAGCAGCCGCGGUAAUACGGAGGAUGCGAGCGUUAUCCGGAUUUAUUGGGUUUAAAGGGAGCGCAGACGGGAGAUUAAGUCAGCUGUGAAAGUUUGGGGCUCAACCUUAAAAUUGCAAUUGAUACUGGCGGACUUGAGUGCAGAUGAGGUAGGCGGAAUUCGUGGUGUAGCGGUGAAAUGCUUAGAUAUCACGAAGAACUCCGAUU
RNAcentral lists this ribosomal RNA (629 nucleotides) under uncultured Bacteroidales bacterium. RNAcentral's name for it is "bacterial SSU rRNA". It matches the Rfam family "Bacterial small subunit ribosomal RNA", at positions 87 to 714 of the family's 1533-position model. Lineage: Bacteria; Pseudomonadati; Bacteroidota; Bacteroidia; Bacteroidales. The record is from RNAcentral.